AGAAUUCCUUGCUAGCACUUUACCCCAGAACAACAUGCUAGCUCUUCACCUUAGGGCUUCCUGCUAGACCUUCCCAACUGCUGCUGCCAGCAGGAGGUGCAAACCAGAUGAAAGUUGGAUCUUCCUACCUCAAAGAUACAGAUUAAAAAUGUGUCUUCCUGCUUCAAGUGAUAUCAUGAAGAAAAAGAAAACUCCUUCACAGGUUCACCCAGCCAUUUGUGUUUCAGUUAAUUCCCAAGGCAGUCAGUCACCUUGGCACCCAAGCAUAGCCAUCGCACCGAGCCACCAUCUAAUCCAAGUUGCCUUCCCAUAUAUGAGAUCCUCACAGAUGUCAGCCCAUUAAAGAUACCAGCAAGAUAGACACCAGCUCUUCCCAGAUAGACACCAGCACUUCUUCUCAGAUACCAGCGCAUUCCAUCCACCGUCUUAACACCAGGCUAAGCCCACCUACAACCAUCCACCAUGCGGUUCCAGUUUCCAUGCCAUCUCGGUCAACAUCUUUGCCCAGCAUCUAACCCCAGUCAACAUCUGGGCUGUAGCCUUAAGAUCAACCUCAAGGGAGCACUGCCCAGCUGAACCCAACCACUGCCAGGAGAUUUGGAGUUGUUCCUUGGGAGCUUUGCGGCUUAGCGUUGGAUGAUGGGACCUCUGACCUCAUCUUGCACUGUCCAAUCAGUCCAAAGUUUAGAGGGACCACACUAUGGGUCAAAGUACGAUCUUCAGCAUUUCACCUUCGAGGCACAUGAACAGCCAGAAGAAACACCUGUCUUCUUGGGAAACCCUGUAGGUGGUCCCCGCAGAUCUUUCCCUUGGGCACUGGUCCACUCUCAGAGUCCUCUUCUCCAGCAGAUGUUCACCACUCCCAACGCAGACUCUGGCCUACUUUUUUUCCCCUCCCCACUGCAUGCAGAUGGAUCAUUAAGGGCCACCAGGUGGAAGGAGAGAAGCUAUUCUGCAAGUUGUUCCCUGACUCCAUGUGGAUGCCAGGUCGUGGCUGCAACACCCCAUGACCCCACAUGGAUGCCAGGCCGUGGCUGCAAUGCCCCAUGACCCCAUAUGGAUGCCAGGUCAUGGCUGCAAUGCCCCAUGACCCCACACGGACGCCAGGCCAUGGCUGCAAUGCCCCAUGACCCCACAUGGACGCCAGGUCGUGGCUGCAAUGCCCCAUGACCCCACAUGGACACCAGGUCGUGGGUGCAACACCCCAAAUAAAUAGGCAAGUGAAAUCUAA
Mastomys coucha (southern multimammate mouse) is the source of this 1231-nucleotide long non-coding RNA. RefSeq lists it as uncharacterized. The transcript is spliced from 4 exons. The record is from RefSeq and is a predicted model, not a curated record. Lineage: Eukaryota; Metazoa; Chordata; Mammalia; Rodentia; Muridae.